AGCCAUGCGAGUCGAACGUCCCCCUGNUUGCGGGGGGCGUGGCGUACGGCUCAGUAACACGUAGUCAACCUGCCCUGGAGACAAGGACAACCCCGGGAAACUGGGAUUAAUCCUUGAUAGGUCAUCUCAUCUGGAAGGAGAGAUGGCUUAAAGGGGUACGCGGGCUUCUUCUGCGUAUUCGCUCCAGGAUGGGACUGCGUCCGAUCAGGCUGUUGGCGGGGUAAUGGCCCACCAAACCUGUAACCGGUACGGGCCUUGAGAGAGGUGGCCCGGAGAUGGACACUGAGAGAAGGGUCCAGGUCCUACGGGGCGCAGCAGGCGCGAAACCUUCGCAAUGCGCGAAAGCGUGACGAGGUUAAUCCGAGUGACUCCCGCUGAGGGGGUCUUUUGUCAGCUGUAAAUAGGCAGGCGAAUAAGGGGAGGGCAAGCCUGGUGUCAGCCGCCGCGGUAA
RNAcentral lists this ribosomal RNA (451 nucleotides) under uncultured archaeon. RNAcentral describes it as "bacterial SSU rRNA". It matches the Rfam family "Archaeal small subunit ribosomal RNA", at positions 47 to 473 of the family's 1478-position model. The record is from RNAcentral.